GACAGAGGGUGCAAACGUUGUUCGGAAUUACUGGGCGUAAAGCGCGUGUAGGCGGCUCUGCAAGUCGGGUGUGAAAUCCCAUGGCUCAACCAUGGAAGUGCACUCGAAACUGCAGGGCUAGAGUCCUGGAGAGGAAGGUGGAAUGCUUGGUGUAGAGGUGAAAUUCGUAGAUAUCAAGCGGAACACCGGUGGCGAAGGCGGCCUUCUGGACAGUGACUGACGCUGAGACGCGAAAGCGUGGGGAGCAAACGGG
Molecule: ribosomal RNA, 253 nt
Filed under: uncultured bacterium
Lineage: Bacteria
Description: partial 16S ribosomal RNA
Rfam family: Bacterial small subunit ribosomal RNA
Source: RNAcentral